AGCAGCCGCGGUAAUUCCAGCUCCAAUAGCGUAUAUUAAAGUUGUUGCAGUUAAAAAGCUCGUAGUUGAAUUUCGAGAUCAAAUUGUUGGUCGUGCCUUGGUACGCACUGGCAUUAUUGGUUUCUCCCUUCUGACGAGCCAUGAUGUCAUUAAUUUGGUGUCUUGGGGAAUCAGGACUGUUACUUUGAAAAAAUUAGAGUGUUUAAAGCAGGCUCACGCUUGAAUACAUUAGCAUGGAAUAAUGAAAUAGGACGUUUGAUUCUAUUUUGUUGGUUUCUAGGAUCGACGUAAUGAUUAAUAGGGAUAGUUGGGGGCAUUAGUAUUCAAUUGUCAGAGGUGAAAUUCUUGGAUUUAUUGAAGACUAACUACUGCGAAAGCAUUUGCCAAGGAUGUUUUCAUUAAUCAGGAACGAAAGUUAGGGGAUCGAAGACGAUCAGGUACCGUCGUAGUCUUAACCAUAAACUAUGCCGACUAGGGAUCGGAUGAUGUAAUUUUUAAUGA
RNAcentral lists this ribosomal RNA (501 nucleotides) under uncultured Glomus. RNAcentral describes it as "SSU rRNA". It matches the Rfam family "Eukaryotic small subunit ribosomal RNA", at positions 569 to 1075 of the family's 1831-position model. Lineage: Eukaryota; Fungi; Glomeromycota; Glomeromycetes; Glomerales; Glomeraceae. The record is from RNAcentral.